UACGUAGGAGGCGAGCGUUAUCCGGAUUCACUGGGCGUAAAGCGCAUGUAGGCGGUUCGAUAAGUCCGCUGUUAAAGCCCCCGGCUCAACUGGGGGAGGUCAGUGGAGACUAUAGGACUUGAGGGCAACAGAGGCACGUGGAACUCCCGGUGUAGCGGUGGAAUGCGUAGAGAUCGGGAAGAACACCAGUGGCGAAGGCGACGUGCUGGGUUGCGACUGACGCUGAGAUGCGAAAGUGUGGGGAGCAAACGGG
This 253-nucleotide ribosomal RNA is filed under the name uncultured bacterium. RNAcentral describes it as "partial 16S ribosomal RNA". It matches the Rfam family "Bacterial small subunit ribosomal RNA", at positions 524 to 776 of the family's 1533-position model. The record is from RNAcentral.